This 361-nucleotide ribosomal RNA is filed under the name Striatibotrys eucylindrosporus. RNAcentral describes it as "SSU rRNA". It matches the Rfam family "Eukaryotic small subunit ribosomal RNA", at positions 1471 to 1831 of the family's 1831-position model. The record is from RNAcentral. Lineage: Eukaryota; Fungi; Ascomycota; Sordariomycetes; Hypocreales; Stachybotryaceae.
CCUUAGAUGUCCUGGGCUGCACGCGCGUUACACUGACGGAGCCAGCGAGUUCUUCCUUGUCCGAAAGGUCCGGGUAAUCUUGUUAAACUCCGUCGUGCUGGGGAUAGAGCAUUGCAAUUAUUGCUCUUCAACGAGGAAUCCCUAGUAAGCGCAAGUCAUCAGCUUGCGUUGAUUACGUCCCUGCCCUUUGUACACACCGCCCGUCGCUACUACCGAUUGAAUGGCUUAGUGAGGCGUUCGGACUGGUCCAGGGAGGUGGGCAACUACCACCCAGGACCGGAAAGUUCUCCAAACUUGGUCAUUUAGAGGAAGUAAAAGUCGUAACAAGGUCUCCGUUGGUGAACCAGCGGAGGGAUCAUUA